CAGUAGCCACGGGAAUACGAAGGGGGCUAGCGUUGCUCGGAAUUACUGGGCGUAAAGGGAGCGUAGGCGGACAUUUAAGUCAGGGGUGAAAUCCCAGAGCUCAACUCUGGAACUGCCUUUGAUACUGGGUGUCUUGAGUGUGAUAGAGGUAUGUGGAACUCCGAGUGUAGAGGUGAAAUUCGUAGAUAUUCGCAGGAACACCAGUGGCGAAGGCGGCUAACUGGUCCAUAACUGACGCUGAGGUGCGAAAGCGUGGGGAGCAAACAGGAUUAGAUACCCCUGUAGUCCCUGUCUCUUAUAC
Molecule: ribosomal RNA, 301 nt
Filed under: uncultured bacterium
Lineage: Bacteria
Description: partial 16S ribosomal RNA
Rfam family: Bacterial small subunit ribosomal RNA
Source: RNAcentral